Molecule: long non-coding RNA, 538 nt
Filed under: Vigna radiata
Lineage: Eukaryota; Viridiplantae; Streptophyta; Magnoliopsida; Fabales; Fabaceae
Description: long non-coding RNA (VRAD_LNC013232)
Source: RNAcentral
GAGGCUAGGGAUAGCAAGCCAGCAAUUAGUAAUAGGCUCUUCUCGCCGAGGGAUCGGGUGAAGGGUAGGCCAAGAAAGUUUGCAUAACAAUUAGAUUACAAAGCAAUUUAAACAAGAGGAGUAGAUAAGAGAGGGCAGAUAAGAUGAAAUUGUAAACCCCCAACAACUCCAUUCAUCCAUAGUCUUUUUCUUGUCAACUAAAUCAAACACAUUGCAUGUUUAUUUUCUGUCUUUGCAUUCCAAACAAUUAAUUUUUCUCUACAAGUUUUACGAUUUCGCUUCGCACGAACGAUAAGGCCUUUCGAGUCUCUUGGGAAGAACGAUAUCGGACAUUACCGAUUAUAUUACUUGAACGAUCUGGUUCACUUGCCAGUGAGUCAACAACAAUCAAUCAGCAUAAGAACAUGUAAUUCAUCAACAACAUGUGCAUGUUAUUAAGCAAUGUGUUGUCAUCAUCAAAAACUAGAUUGACAUGUAAAUGAUAACUCCCCCUGAAAUGCAGGCAUGUGAAGAAAAAUGUGUAAAAUGUAAUACUCCC